This 77-nucleotide transfer RNA is filed under the name Klebsiella michiganensis. RNAcentral describes it as "tRNA-Thr(cgt)". It matches the Rfam family "tRNA". Rfam says of the family: Transfer RNA (tRNA) molecules are approximately 80 nucleotides in length. Lineage: Bacteria; Pseudomonadati; Pseudomonadota; Gammaproteobacteria; Enterobacterales; Enterobacteriaceae. The record is from RNAcentral.
GCCGAUAUAGCUCAGUUGGUAGAGCAGCGCAUUCGUAAUGCGAAGGUCGUAGGUUCGACUCCUUAUUAUCGGCACCA